CAUUUUUCAGAUUUACAAACUAAAAUUAAGAAUAUGUCAUUUGCUUUUGUACCCGAGAGAGAAAGAAAAGAGCUCUUCAAAAGGACAUUGAACUGGCCUCAUGGUGGCUAUUCUUUCUUUGAGGGGCACUACAG
Molecule: small nucleolar RNA, 134 nt
Filed under: Octodon degus (degu)
Lineage: Eukaryota; Metazoa; Chordata; Mammalia; Rodentia; Octodontidae
Description: Small nucleolar RNA SNORA64/SNORA10 family (ENSODEG00000022548.1)
Rfam family: Small nucleolar RNA SNORA64/SNORA10 family
About the family: This family belongs to the H/ACA class of small nucleolar RNAs (snoRNAs) which act as guides in the the modification of uridines to pseudouridines. This family includes the human snoRNAs U64 and ACA10 and mouse MBI-29.
Source: RNAcentral